This 492-nucleotide ribosomal RNA is filed under the name uncultured bacterium. RNAcentral's name for it is "partial 16S ribosomal RNA". It matches the Rfam family "Bacterial small subunit ribosomal RNA", at positions 29 to 507 of the family's 1533-position model. The record is from RNAcentral.
AGUGAACGCUGGCGGUAGGCCUAACACAUGCAAAUCGAACGGCAGCACAGUAAGAGCUUGCUCUUACGGGUGGCGAGUGGCGGACGGGUGAGGAACACAUCGGAAUCUACUUUUUCGUGGGGGAUAACGUAGGGAAACUUACGCUAAUACCGCAUACGACCUACGGGUGAAAGCAGGGGAUCUUCGGACCUUGCGCGAUUGAAUGAGCCGAUGUCGGAUUAGCUAGUUGGCGGGGUAAAGGCCCACCAAGGCGACGAUCCGUAGCUGGUCUGAGAGGAUGAUCAGCCACACUGGAACUGAGACACGGUCCAGACUCCUACGGGAGGCAGCAGUGGGGAAUAUUGGACAAUGGGCGCAAGCCUGAUCCAGCCAUACCGCGUGGGUGAAGAAGGCCUUCGGGUUGUAAAGCCCUUUUGUUGGGAAAGAAAAGCAGCAGGUUAAUACCCCGCUGUUCUGACGGUACCCAAAGAAUAAGCACCGGCUAACUUCGUG